This 693-nucleotide long non-coding RNA is filed under the name Sparus aurata (gilthead seabream). RNAcentral's name for it is "lncRNA (ENSSAUG00010002899.1)". Lineage: Eukaryota; Metazoa; Chordata; Actinopteri; Spariformes; Sparidae. The record is from RNAcentral.
CUUUAAGUGAAUAUUGAUCACCACCUGUUUUUAAUUGGCCUCAUUUGAUACGUGAGAAUAAACAAAGCAAGCAAUGUGGGUGAAACCGAUCAGAAAGCGUGGCAGUUACCUCGCCUAGAUACAUUGGCGACCUGUCCAAGUUGUACACGACCCGUCUCUCGCCCAGUGCAUGCUGGGAUACACUGUUGAAUCCACGCAGCCCCAGGCGACUUGGUUCAAGGUACGUGUAAACAGAUUUGCUCCCGGCUGGCGGUCUGACCCGGGUCCUCCUCCUGUGACCCCGUGGAUGAUUGCUGUGACUGAGACGUGUUUGAUCCCUGCGCUGAUGCUGGGCUUCUGAUGGCCGCCCCACUUUGAUGCCGCGGCGAGAUUGAAUCCGACCACCCCCUGCGACACACACACACACACACCGUCGGCCAAAUCGCACCAUCAGACCUUGUAUCUAAACAGGAGGUGCGAUUUCCUCCUUCUCCCUUUGAUCCGGAGCAUUGAUAUUUUUCUGAAGGUCUGCUCCCACCCUUUAAUGCCUUGUGAGGAGGGAUCUGCUACGGAGCUACAGCCCUCAAACCUCAGACAUAUUAUAUUUUAUCGUGUAACUAUUUUUUAAAAUUCCUGAUGACAUAAAUUUGUCUCCCCCUGAGAACAAUUGAUGCAGUCCUUUCUUUUACUCAGAGGAGGUACAGAGAAGUCGUG